Molecule: ribosomal RNA, 557 nt
Filed under: fungal endophyte
Lineage: Eukaryota; Fungi
Description: eukaryotic LSU rRNA
Rfam family: 5.8S ribosomal RNA (bases 185-338)
Source: RNAcentral
GAGGGAUCAUUACUGAGUUUACGCUCUAUAACCCUUUGUGAACAUACCUAUAACUGUUGCUUCGGCGGGUAGGGUCUCCGUGACCCUCCCGGCCUCCCGCCCCCGGGCGGGUCGGCGCCCGCCGGAGGAUAACCAAACUCUGAUUUAACGACGUUUCUUCUGAGUGGUACAAGCAAAUAAUCAAAACUUUUAACAACGGAUCUCUUGGUUCUGGCAUCGAUGAAGAACGCAGCGAAAUGCGAUAAGUAAUGUGAAUUGCAGAAUUCAGUGAAUCAUCGAAUCUUUGAACGCACAUUGCGCCCGCCAGCAUUCUGGCGGGCAUGCCUGUUCGAGCGUCAUUUCAACCCUCAAGCUCUGCUUGGUGUUGGGGCCCUACAGCUGAUGUAGGCCCUCAAAGGUAGUGGCGGACCCUCCCGGAGCCUCCUUUGCGUAGUAACUUUACGUCUCGCACUGGGAUCCGGAGGGACUCUUGCCGUAAAACCCCCAAUUUUCCAAAGGUUGACCUCGGAUCAGGUAGGAAUACCCGCUGAACUUAAGCAUAUCAAUAAGGCGGAGGA